AGCGCACCGCGCGGCUGGCAACAGUUCGUGGCACGGUAAACUCCACCCGGAGCAAGGCCAAAUAGGGGUUCACAUGGUACGGCCCGUACUGAACCCGGGUAGGCUGCUUGAGCCAGUGAGCGAUUGCUGGCCUAGAGGAAUGACUGUCCACGACAGAACCCGGCUUACCGGUCAACUCCCUCG
This 183-nucleotide RNase P RNA is filed under the name Serratia marcescens. Its description in RNAcentral is "partial RNase P RNA component class A". It matches the Rfam family "Bacterial RNase P class A", at positions 172 to 367 of the family's 367-position model. From Rfam's summary of the family: Ribonuclease P (RNase P) is a ubiquitous endoribonuclease, found in archaea, bacteria and eukarya as well as chloroplasts and mitochondria. Lineage: Bacteria; Pseudomonadati; Pseudomonadota; Gammaproteobacteria; Enterobacterales; Yersiniaceae. The record is from RNAcentral.